CUAUUUCCUGAAGUUCUUUCUUCUCUGCAGAUAUUCUUUACAUAAGGGAGGAGGGGGGAGGGGGUGUUUGCCCAACUAAACAGCAAUGGACAACUGGAAUUCUUACCAAUCUAUUGACGACUGGACUGUUCCGCAGUAGUUUUCGUUGGAGAUAGAGAAGUAUAAGAAUGUAUCAAACUGUGUCCCCACCAAGAGUACGAAACUAAAGAUCUAAUGC
RNAcentral lists this long non-coding RNA (217 nucleotides) under Nicotiana benthamiana. Its description in RNAcentral is "long non-coding RNA (NBEN_LNC031143)". The record is from RNAcentral. Lineage: Eukaryota; Viridiplantae; Streptophyta; Magnoliopsida; Solanales; Solanaceae.